Parus major (Great Tit) is the source of this 2424-nucleotide long non-coding RNA. RefSeq lists it as uncharacterized. The record is from RefSeq and is a predicted model, not a curated record. NCBI's taxonomy places the organism in Eukaryota, Metazoa, Chordata, Aves, Passeriformes, Paridae. The transcript has 3 exons.
UUUCCAGAUCUUGCAGAUCUUCUUUUAUAGACAGUUCUGAGAAGGUCCAGAAAGGUAAAGCUUUCAUUGGUCAUGAAACUAACACAUCACCAGCAUUGAUCUGGAACAACAUUUUUAGGAACAACACCCCUUGACUGUUUCUUACAAGUAAACAACAAGGUAACAAACAACAGCUGCAAAGGUUGUUUUCCUUCUCUAAGGACUGUCUGGAAUCCUCAUCAUUUUUCAGGCCAUACUUUCUCAGGCCAGUGUGAGAAAGUUAAGUGAUUUAGUUUCACACAGACACUGUGCUUACUGCCUGAUUUCUCACAUUCAGCAUCCAUAGUCCCCUUUCACUAGAACCCCUUCCCAACUCUUCCCCUGAUGCUGACAGUGGAUUGCUCUGAAAGCGAUUAUCACACUAUCUGACAGCUGUCUUCCACAGGAAAACAGCAAGUCUUGAACCUGCCCUGCAUCAUCUCUUUUGGGAACCAAAUCAGCUGGAAUAGAUCAUACCUUGGACCAGGUUUCUGACACAGAGAGAAAAAACUUGAGGCCCCGGGAGACAGGAUACUGAAAAGAUGGAAAUUAGGAUGCUACUGGGAUCAUUCCAUAAUAGGUCAUGUCCCUGGUUCGCAUUUGCAAUUGGACCCCUGCCCUCAGGUACCCCUAUGAAUUGUUAAGCUCACCACGCCCCUGGGUCUUCGGAGCUUUACCCCAGAACAUGCAGUUCCUGUGGUUUGUUAUUUUACCACCAUUAAAGCAUUUCAGGCAACUCCAUCAUUCCCGUCCUUCCAUUUUGCCAUGCCCACCCAGCUGGACAGGACCUGGAGUCACAGCGAGCCAACUGUGACAAGUGGCACCUGAACAGGGACUCCCAUACUGGAGACAUCUAGGGAUCAGUUUGGCUGGGUCCUGGCCAAACCAGCAGGAUCUCUUCUCUCCACUGUGGAUUAUUUUGUCAGGCCUGACACUUUGGCAACAGACAGCCAUUGGAGGACAACCAGCUGUCUCGGAGGACACCUGCUAGGAACACAGAUUUGGUGCCGUGACUCGGAUUCGGAGAAACUGCGGGGAAUUUCGCUGUCCGGGAGGGGUACCCCUGCUGAUUUUAGCAGCCUGGACCUGCAAAAACGAGGACUAAUUCCCCAAAGCGCCACUCUGGGAUUCGCUAUACACCAGAUACAGCCUAGAGAUAAAGUCCUCGUCAAAACUUGAAAAGAGCUUCCCCUCACCCCCCAGUGAAGGUGAGGGGAAGCUCUUUUCGGAAGGACCGUUCCUCGUCCUCCUGACCACAGACACCGCUGUCCGGACCGCAGAAAGGGGCUGGACACACUCAUCUCAAGUAAAAAAAGUGAAGAAUUACGACGCCUCCGAGUAGAAAGUCACCACCCCUCCAGGAGAACUUAAAUUAAGAUUCAACGUCACCACAAAUGACCAGUGAAGAUCAGAUAAGUUGUUACAACCCAAAUUGUGAUUGUUUCCCUUUUAUACAUUUUAAGUGCGUUUAUUGUAAAAUAAUUUGAGUAACCCACUGUUGGGGAGGAUACAGGCCUAAGGGAUUGUCUACUGAUUGUCUAACUGAGGAGCAAGAAUUGACUAGCCGUCUCUUAAUACUUGCCACCCAGUUGGAGUUAUUAGAACUUGACUCUCCUGAGUGGUACCAAAUUUACCAAAAAAGAAUUAGAAAAAAAUUAGAUGCUAAAGCAGAAGUAUUAGCGACUGAGUGCCGAAAGACAGUCAAAGUACUGUGCAAGACUGAUACAAUUAAAUUGUCUCGGUGAGCUACUUUCAAGAGAAGGUAUGCCAUUAAGACUACAAAGACCCCUGAAGACUAUACCUGCUGCCAAGAAGAUGGUACUCCCCGCCGUAUAUUUUUAUACGGGCGAAGGGCAAAGCAGAGGCAUACAACGGUGGGGAAUCCUGAUUGUCCUGAAUCUAGCCAUGUGCUUAACCAAGGGAAUGAGUCCCGAGGUACCUCCGGGGGAGCAUCUCCUGGAGAAGUGUGAGCAGUGUAAGACUGCCACAGAUACCAGACGAAUAAUUGACUGUCCUACAGAACGAAAAAAGGGGUCUUAUUUGUCCAAUGGCACUCAGUAUAAUCUCUGUGAACUAAGGGGAGAGAUCUGGUGUCACCACUCAGAGGCAGGUUUUAAGGACGGGCAGUCUAAAACUCCUGUGAAAAGAAAAACCAAAGCUACCCACUUCAAGUAUAGGAGAGAAGUGAGAUUGCUUCCUCCAAUUCCAAUCUGUAACCAAUGUAACAAAACUGUCUGGGUAAGAAGAAAAAGACAAUCCACUUUUUUAGCAUAUUAUAAAGUCAACCCUUUAUGUUACAAUAAAGCAAACUUAAAAACGUGUACCAUGAGAAGAAAAUUGUAUUGAGAAGGUAGAAAUUUAAAACAUGAGAGAAAAGCCUCCUUUAGUAAUGAGCCGAUAAUUCUC